AGUGAACGCUGGCGGCAGGCCUAACACAUGCAAGUCGAACGGCAGCACAAGAGAGCUUGCUCUCUGGGUGGCGAGUGGCGGACGGGUGAGGAAUGCAUCGGAAUCUGCCCAUUUGUGGGGGAUAACCUCGGGAAACCGGGACUAAUACCGCAUACGACCUACGGGUGAAAGCAGGGGAUCUUCGGACCUUGCGCAGAUGGCUGAGCGGAUGCCGGAUUAGCUAGUUGGAGGGGUAAAGGCCCACCAAGGCGACGAUCCGUAGCUGGUCUGAGAGGAUGAUCAGCCACACUGGGACUGAGACACGGCCCAGACUCCUACGGGAGGCAGCAGUGGGGAAUACUGGACAAUGGGCGCAAGCCUGAUCCAGCCAUGCCGCGUGUGUGAAGAAGGCCUUCGGGUUGUAAAGCACUUUUGUUGGGAAAGAAAAGCAGCCGGUUAAUACCCGGUUGUCAUGACGGUACCCAAAGAAUAAGCACCGGCUAACUUCGUG
Molecule: ribosomal RNA, 490 nt
Filed under: uncultured bacterium
Lineage: Bacteria
Description: partial 16S ribosomal RNA
Rfam family: Bacterial small subunit ribosomal RNA
Source: RNAcentral